This 82-nucleotide transfer RNA is filed under the name Cyanophage MaMV-DH01. It matches the Rfam family "tRNA". From Rfam's summary of the family: Transfer RNA (tRNA) molecules are approximately 80 nucleotides in length. Their secondary structure includes four short double-helical elements and three loops (D, anti-codon, and T loops). The record is from Rfam by way of RNAcentral. Lineage: Duplodnaviria; Heunggongvirae; Uroviricota; Caudoviricetes.
GGGUUAGUGGCCGAGUAGUCGAAGGCGACAGACUGUAAAUCUGUAGAGUAAUUCCACGCUGGUGCAAAUCCAGCCUAACCCA